CUACGGGGGGCUGCAGUGGGGAAUAUUGCACAAUGAGCGAAAGCUUGAUGCAGCCAUACCGCGUGUGUGAAGAAGGCCCGAGGGUUGUAAAGCACUUUCAAUUGGGAGGAAGGUUAAGUAGUUAAUACCUGCUUAAUUUGACGUUACCUUUAGAAGAAGCACCGGCUAACUCUGUGCCAGCAGCCGCGGUAAUACAGAGGGUGCAAGCGUUAUUCGGAAUUACUGGGCGUAAAGCGCGCGUAGGCGGAUUAUUAAGUCAGUUGUGAAAGCCCUGGGCUCAACCUGGGAACUGCAUCUGAUACUGGUAGUCUAGAGUUUAGGAGAGGGGAGUGGAAUUCCAGGUGUAGCAGUGAAAUGCGUAGAUAUCUGGAGGAACAUCAGUGGCGAAGGCGACUUCCUGGCUUAAAACUGACGCUGAGGUGCGAAAGCGUGGGUAGCGAACGGGAUUAGAUACCCUGGUAGUC
Molecule: ribosomal RNA, 464 nt
Filed under: uncultured bacterium
Lineage: Bacteria
Description: partial 16S ribosomal RNA
Rfam family: Bacterial small subunit ribosomal RNA
Source: RNAcentral